RNAcentral lists this small RNA (124 nucleotides) under Marmota monax (woodchuck). Lineage: Eukaryota; Metazoa; Chordata; Mammalia; Rodentia; Sciuridae. The record is from RNAcentral.
GCCAGGCGUGGUGGCACAUGCCUGUCAUCCCAGCGGCUUAGGAGGCUGAGGCAGGAGGAUCACGAGUUAUAACCAGCCUCAGCCAAAGGGAGGCUCUAAGCAACUCAGUGAGACCCUGUCUCUA